GGUAACUGCGUGCAAGGAGCGGGGGGGAAAGGGAGGGUGCAAGCGUGAAUCGGGAUGACUGGGCGUAAAGCGGACGCAGGCGGUCUGUCAAGGCGGAUGUGAAAUCCCCGGGCUCAACCUGGGAACUGCAUUCGAAACUGGCAGGCUAGAGUCUUGUAGAGGGGGGUAGAAUUCCAGGUGUAGCGGUGAAAUGCGUAGAGAUCUGGAGGAAUACCGGUGGCGAAGGCGGCCCCCUGGACAAAGACUGACGCUCAGGUGCGAAAGCGUGGGGAGCAAACAGGAUUAGAUACCCCAGUAGUC
This 300-nucleotide ribosomal RNA is filed under the name uncultured Lactobacillus sp. Its description in RNAcentral is "bacterial SSU rRNA". It matches the Rfam family "Bacterial small subunit ribosomal RNA", at positions 496 to 795 of the family's 1533-position model. The record is from RNAcentral. Lineage: Bacteria; Bacillati; Bacillota; Bacilli; Lactobacillales; Lactobacillaceae.